Molecule: ribosomal RNA, 563 nt
Filed under: Solicoccozyma phenolica
Lineage: Eukaryota; Fungi; Basidiomycota; Tremellomycetes; Filobasidiales; Piskurozymaceae
Description: eukaryotic LSU rRNA
Rfam family: Eukaryotic large subunit ribosomal RNA
Source: RNAcentral
UAAGCGGAGGAAAAGAAACUAACAAGGAUUCCCCUAGUAACGGCGAGUGAAGCGGGAAAAGCUCAAAUUUGAAAUCUGGUAGCCUCAGGCUGCCCGAGUUGUAAUCUAUAGAAACGUUUUCCGCGCUGGCCCAUGUACAAGUCUCCUGGAAUGGAGCGUCAUAGAGGGUGAGAAUCCCGUCCUUGACAUGGACUACCAGUGCUUUGUGAUACGUUUUCAAAGAGUCGAGUUGUUUGGGAAUGCAGCUCAAAAUGGGUGGUAAAUUCCAUCUAAAGCUAAAUAUUGGCGAGAGACCGAUAGCGAACAAGUACCGUGAGGGAAAGAUGAAAAGCACUUUGGAAAGAGAGUUAAACAGUAUGUGAAAUUGUUGAAAGGGAAACGAUUGAAGUCAGUCAUGUCUAUUGGACUCAGCCGGUUCUGCCGGUGUACUUCCUUUAGAUGGGGUCAACAUCAGUUUUGAUCGCUGGAAAAGGGCAGGAGGAAUGUAGCACUCUCGGGUGAACUUAUAGCCUCCUGUCGUAUACAGUGGUUGGGACUGAGGAACGCAGCAUGCCUUUAUGGCC